This 1406-nucleotide ribosomal RNA is filed under the name Sphenophryne cornuta. RNAcentral describes it as "partial 16S ribosomal RNA". It matches the Rfam family "Bacterial large subunit ribosomal RNA", at positions 378 to 2597 of the family's 2925-position model. Lineage: Eukaryota; Metazoa; Chordata; Amphibia; Anura; Microhylidae. The record is from RNAcentral.
GCCUAAAACCUAGCCCUACCUGCCCUCAAUAAAAGUACUACAUUAAACAAUUAUAAUAAAACAUUUUCUCAGCCAAGUAAAGGCGAUUAAAAAGCACUUAGGAGCUCCAACACCAGUACCGCAAGGGAAAACUGAAAUAAAAAUGAAAUAAAUCUAAAACACAACAUAGUAGAGACCCACCCUCGUACCUUUUGCAUCAUGAUCUAGCUAGUACAACCAAGCUAAACGAACUUUAAGUUUGACACCCCGAAACUAAGCGAGCUACUUCAAAACAGCCCCUACGGGCCAACCCAUCCCUGUUGCAAAAUGGUGGGAAGAUUUUCAAGUAGAAGUGACAGACCUACCGAGCCUAGAGAUAGCUGGUUAUUCAAGAAGCGGAUAUUAGUCCAAUUUUAAAUCUCUUUAUUUUUUCAAGCUCACUCAAAGAUUUAAAAUUCAUUCAAAUAAGGUACAGCCUAUUUGAAAUAGGAUACAACCUCUAAUAUUGGGUUACCUCCAACCUCUGUGAUCAAGUCGGCCUAAAAGCAGCCAUCUUUUAAAGAGCGUCACAGCCUUACCACACCAUAUCAAUAAUCCAAACCUAAACUAAAAACCCAUUAUCAAUACUGAAUGACUCCAUUCACCUAUGGAAGACCUUAUGUUAGAACUAGUAACAAGAAUAUGCCCUUCUCCAACAGUAAGUGUAAGCUGGAAUGAACCCCUCGCCGGCAUUUAUCGCCAAUGAAUUUACAGUAAUAACCCCCCAAGAAAAUGCUACUUUCACCAACGUUAACCUUACACUAGAACUCUCCUGGAAAGAUUAAAAAACUGGGAAGGAACUCGGCAAACACUAACCCCGCCUGUUUACCAAAAACAUCGCCUUCUGCCACUAAUAGAAGGUCUAGCCUGCCCAGUGAAAAUUUAAACGGCCGCGGUACUUUAACCGUGCAAAGGUAGCACAAUCACUUGUCUCCUAAAUAGAGACCAGUAUGAAUGGCAUCACGAGGGUUACACUGUCUCCCCACUUUAAUCAGUGAAACUAAUCUCCCCGUGAAGAAGCGGGGAUAAAUAUAUAAGACGAGAAGACCCCAUGGAGCUUUAAACUAAAAACAUCCGCAUAUUUUAUGCCACUUAAACCUAGCAGAUCUGUUUUCUAGUUUUUGGUUGGGGCGACCGCGGAGUAAAACAAAACCUCCACGAUGAAAGGAAAUAAUGACCUAAUUCAAGAGCAACCGCUCGCAAAAUCAAAAUAUUGACCUAUGACCCAAAAAAUCUUUGAGUAACGAACCAAGUUACCCUGGGGAUAACAGCGCAAUCCAUCUCAAGAGCUCCUAUCGACAGAUGGGUUUACGACCUCGAUGUUGGAUCAGGGUAUCCCAGUGGUGAAGCCGCUACUAAAGGUUCGUUUGUUCAACGAUUAAAACCCU